AUGAGAGCCUUUCCUUUCAGAGACCCCCGCCGCCGCUGCCGCUCCCCAGUGCUCAUCAUCUCCCCCAAAUGCGUUACUGGAGCACAAACCAGAAGCAGCCUUAAUCUGUCAACAUGCCCUUUAAUUGGAAGAAGAAAACAACACGUGCUUUUGGUUGUGCAGAUAUGGAUGUGUUGGUAUGAACGCCGUUUGGGUUUCGGACUCUGUGCUGAUUCUAGGAUGUUGGCGAUGUUGGAGCCGUGGUACGCUCCCAGCCCGGGGCCCCUGUGUGUUCGAGGUGCACGCUGGUGUCAUAAUUAUCUAACACAACGGCGUUGCUGCUCUUAUUAGUAAUUAGCUCCUACCAAAACUGAUUGGUAUGGGUUCCUCCGCUCAUCCCUUUUAAUGUUUAAACAUUUACUUUGUGCUUGAAGGAUUUGUUUGUAUAUAUCUUGUGUGAUGAGCGCUUUUCAAGUAAUUGGCUCCUAGGGGACGACACUUUCUAACAGUUAAAAGGAUAAUUACAGCCCUAUGAAAUGUUAAACUGCCCCGACUGUCUUUUCGCAGGGGCUUAAUUGCAUGCAACAAGUAAGGCAGGCUUUUCAUUUUGUUCCAUCACAGGAACGGACUGAGCUCACACGGAAACACACAGAAAUUUUGUCGAGUUGUAAAUAGCUUCUCAUAUGGUAAUUUUGUUGGACACCAGUGCAGUUUGAAAGGCGUAGCUCUCUCUGAAGGCAAUGCUCAUGGCUUGUUUUUUUCAUGUUGGGAAGUGGAGAAGCAAGGGCUCUCAGGCUGUGCUUUCAUGCUUCAAUGGACUUUUGAAUGUAUUAAUAUGAGACCAUUAAGACGGGGGAAAUGAGACAAUGGGUAACUUUUAAAUGUGGGUUUACAGUGUGAAAAGUGUUGAAAAGGGUUUGUUUACUGUUAACACUAAAGGCAUCACACAUUAAUGUUAGAACACGAAACCUCAGUUGCACAUAAAAUAGAUGUUUAAUCGUGUUUGUGCAUGUUUACAUUUGAUUGUACACAUCUGUAUAAAGGUCCAUUCUAGUGGAUAAACAGCUGCUUUGAUGUCUCAACAUAGGUCCGAAUGAUGCUGAACAAUAUGUUGGACUAGCAAAACAAUAAAGAAUGAGCCUGACUUUAUUGUCAGGUGUUUAAAAUACCAUACAUUGAAAAUGUAAUUGCUUCAUUAUGCUCAGAAUGUUUUUAAGCAUGUCUGAUUUAAUUCUCCUAAUAUAUGGCCUCACAUUUUGUCCUUCCUUCUUUAAUUUGAACUAAUCGUGUAAUGGUCUGUGUCCCUUUAGCUCAUGUUGUUGUGGUUUUCCCUCAGUUUCCAUGGUAACUCCACAGCUGUUUGUAAUUGCGAUCACACACCUGCCGCUCGUCUCCAUCUGGAUUUUUUACCCUGAGUCUAAAUGCUGACAGUGUUUGUCCCGAAGACGUUUACAUUUCAGAUCACCAUUGCAUUUUCUUUAACUUGUCCGUUUCUGCGUGCCCACCUCCCGCUCGCCCCCUGGUUAGUUCUCGUUAGCUAGCACAUUUUCUGUUGCUUUUGAUCCACCCGGUUGUUCUGAUAACAACCUAUAUUCCUUAACUUCUCAGUUUAACGAGCACUGCCUCUCCAUCCUGGACAACAUCUGUCCUGUCAGAACCAGAUCAGUUCCUACUCCCUGGUUUAAUCACAGCCUUCGCAGCCUGAAGCACCAAUCCAGAAAAGUUGAGCGCUUUUGGAAGAAAACCCAUCUCCACGUCCAUCUGCUGCACCUAAAGGAUCUUCUGACCUCCUCUAACUCUGCAGUCAGAGACGUGAGGGUUGCCAAAUUCUCCAACCUGGUGUCCCAGAGCAAAGGGAACCCCAAGGUGCUGUUUAACACCAUCAGCAGCAUCGUCUCUCCUGCCUCUCCUACAGCCUCCAUCCACUCUGUUACAGACUGUGAGAACUUUCUGUCUUUCUUUGUGGACAAAGUCAAUAAGGUUAGCUCUAGCAUCUCUCCUUCAGCCUUAUCGCUGCCUCUCCCGACUCCAACCAGGCCCAUCAUCCUAGAUAGCUUUGCUCCUAUUUGUUUGUCUGAGCUCCUUUAAAGGAAUCUCCUUCCAUCUUUAUGCAGAUGACAUCCAACUGUACAUCUCCUUUAAUGGUAAAUGGUGAAUGGCCUGUAUUUGUAUAGCGCCUUAGGGUUCUACAACCCCCCCCAAGGUUUUUCACAACACAACUAGUCAUUCACCCAUUCACACCCACAUUCAUAUGCUGGUGGGGAUGAGUUACGAUGUAGCCACAGCUGCCCUGGGGUGCACUGACAGAGGCGAGGUUGCCGAGCACAGGCGCCACCGGUCCCUCCGACCACCACCAGCAAGCAAGGUGGAUUAAGUGUCUUUCCCGAGGACACAACAGCAGAAUUCUCUGGUUGGAGCCGGGAUCGAACCUGCAACCUUCCGAUUAAAGACCAAAGGUGACAGAUCAUCUGCUGCUGUGGCCCCCAGACUCUGGACCUCUCUUCCUUUGAGCCUGAGGUCAGUGGAUUCCUAUAAAAGCAGCUGAAAUCUCAUCUGUUCAGGCUUUGGUUGGACCUUCAUCACCACCCUCUCCUUAUUCUGCUCUUGUUCCGUUUUUCCCGGGAUCCACCGAUGUCCCUGUUUCCUAUUAAUUCUCUCCCUCCCUUUAAUUGUUUUAAUGAACAUUUUUUAGUCAUUUUAGACAUUUUUUCAUCUUUCUUUUUUAAAUCUUUUUUUUUAUAUAUUUUAAAUGUUUUGUUUUUGUUUAGUGCAUUGUGAUUUUUAUCUUGAGAGGUAUUUUAUAAAAUAGUUUUGCAAAACAAUAAAAAUAAAACAAAGAUGUAUUGCUUUAAUUAUAUCACAGGACAUGACAAUGACUUUAAUGGGUUUCUGAAAAUCAUACAUACGUUCUAAAAGGGUAAACCUCUGGAAAGAUACUUUAAAUACAGAUUACGCAUAGCACUUAUAGUCUGUAUGAUGNCUUGACCCGUUUCAGAGGCGUUGCGCGUAGAAAAUAGAACCGGCGCGUAAAGGCCGCGACAUGCUGCUCCUGAGACGCGGCCGACUCGCGCUGCUGACGCCUCCAGUGGAAAAGGUUCUGUUGACCACAGCGGUUCCUAUCAGCAGCUAUGAUGUGCUGCUGCAGUAACGUGCUGCUGACGGCUCCUGUGGAAAGCCGGGGUUAGAGAAACUCAUUCAUGCUUUUAUUUCUAGUCGGCUGGACUACUGCAAUGGUCUCCUAACUGGUCUUCCCAAAAGCUGUGAAGCAACUGCAGCUUGUUCAGAAUGCUGCUGCUAGAGUCUUAACAAGAACUAAGAGAACAGAGCACAUCACUCCUGUUCUUAGAUCCCUGCGAUGGUUACCAGUAAACUACAGAACAUACUUCAAAGUGCUCCUACUAG
Molecule: long non-coding RNA, 3381 nt
Filed under: Nothobranchius furzeri (turquoise killifish)
Lineage: Eukaryota; Metazoa; Chordata; Actinopteri; Cyprinodontiformes; Nothobranchiidae
Description: lncRNA (ENSNFUG00015021884.1)
Source: RNAcentral